Molecule: ribosomal RNA, 465 nt
Filed under: uncultured bacterium
Lineage: Bacteria
Description: partial 16S ribosomal RNA
Rfam family: Bacterial small subunit ribosomal RNA
Source: RNAcentral
GACGAACGCUGGCGGCGUGCUUAACACAUGCAAGUCGUACGGUAAGGCCCUUUCGGGGGUACACGAGUGGCGAACGGGUGAGUAACACGUGAGUAACCUGCCCACAACUUUGGGAUAACGCUAGGAAACUGGUGCUAAUACUGGAUAUGUGCCCCUGCUGCAUGGUGGGGGUUGGAAAGCUCCGGCGGUUGUGGAUGGACUCGCGGCCUAUCAGCUUGUUGGUGGGGUAGUGGCCUACCAAGGCGGCGACGGGUAGCCGGCCUGAGAGGGUGACCGGCCACAUUGGGACUGAGAUACGGCCCAGACUCCUACGGGAGGCAGCAGUGGGGAAUAUUGCACAAUGGGCGCAAGCCUGAUGCAGCAACGCCGCGUGCGGGAUGACGGCCUUCGGGUUGUAAACCGCGUUCAGCAGGGACGAAGCUUUUUGUGACGGUACCUGCAGAAGAAGCACCGGCUAACUACGUG